AAGAUCAUACUUUUAGGGAUCAUUUCUAUAGUGUGUUUCUUCUCUCACGAAUGCACAUUAGACCAACAUACGCGAACCACGAUGAUGAGUCGCAGUGUUCCUCUCUGAGCGCGAAGCGGAUCCGAGGCGUCACCCUCUUGAGGCUGUCUUGCUGAGGAUCAUUGAUGAACGUUCCUCCUUCCCGUUAGAGGCAGUUGGAGGAGAGGAACACAUUCUGAGUGGU
Small nucleolar RNA from Asterias rubens (European starfish), 223 nucleotides. RefSeq annotates it as small nucleolar RNA U3. The record is from RefSeq and is a predicted model, not a curated record. NCBI's taxonomy places the organism in Eukaryota, Metazoa, Echinodermata, Asteroidea, Forcipulatida, Asteriidae. The transcript has a single exon.